UACGGGGGGAGCAAGCGUUGUUCGGAUUUACUGGGCGUAAAGGGCGCGUAGGCGGCCUCCGCAAGUCGACUGUGAAAUCUCCGGGCUUAACCCGGAACGGUCAGCCGAUACUGCGGGGCUAGAGUGCAGAAGGGGCAACUGGAAUUCUCGGUGUAGCGGUGAAAUGCGUAGAUAUCGAGAGGAACACCUGCGGCGAAAGCGGGUUGCUGGGCUGACACUGACGCUGAUGCGCGAAAGCUAGGGGAGCGAACGGG
This 254-nucleotide ribosomal RNA is filed under the name uncultured bacterium. RNAcentral's name for it is "partial 16S ribosomal RNA". It matches the Rfam family "Bacterial small subunit ribosomal RNA", at positions 524 to 776 of the family's 1533-position model. The record is from RNAcentral.